Molecule: non-coding RNA, 87 nt
Organism: Podarcis lilfordi (Lilford's wall lizard)
Lineage: Eukaryota; Metazoa; Chordata; Lepidosauria; Squamata; Lacertidae
Source: the annotation of a GenBank genome assembly
GCAUAGCCCAGAAGGGAAAGGCUGCAACCCUUAUAGACCAUCUGCUUUGCAUGCAGAAGGUCCCAGGUUCAAUCCCUGGCAUCUCCA